CGGAGUGUAGCGCAGCCUGGUAGCGCACCUGCUUCGGGAGCAGGGGGUCGCAGGUUCAAAUCCUGCCACUCCGACCA
RNAcentral lists this transfer RNA (77 nucleotides) under Methyloceanibacter sp. Its description in RNAcentral is "tRNA-Pro". It matches the Rfam family "tRNA". Rfam says of the family: Transfer RNA (tRNA) molecules are approximately 80 nucleotides in length. The record is from RNAcentral. RNAcentral also lists the same sequence under 6 other names. Lineage: Bacteria; Pseudomonadati; Pseudomonadota; Alphaproteobacteria; Hyphomicrobiales; Hyphomicrobiaceae.